This 253-nucleotide ribosomal RNA is filed under the name uncultured bacterium. Its description in RNAcentral is "partial 16S ribosomal RNA". It matches the Rfam family "Bacterial small subunit ribosomal RNA", at positions 524 to 776 of the family's 1533-position model. The record is from RNAcentral.
UACAGAGGGUGCAAGCGUUGCUCGGAAUUAUUGGGCGUAAAGGGUAGGUAGGUGGUCUUAUUUGUCGGGGGUGAAAGCCUUGGGCUUAACCUAAGAAGUGCCCCCGAAACGGUGAGACUUGAGUCCUGGAGAGGGUCGUGGAAUUCCCGGUGUAGCGGUGAAAUGCGUAGAGAUCGGGAGGAACACCAGAGGCGAAGGCGGCGACCUGGACAGGCACUGACACUCAACUACGAAAGCGUGGGGAGCAAACAGG